CUGAAGGCCGUUGGAGCCAAGCCAUCAAAGAUCUCUAUCAAGUCAAUCUCUUCUGUUGUCUAGAUCUAUCUUGUCUUCUUCCUAGAUCUGGUCACUGGUGAUGCACCAAUCCUUUAUCUUGUAGAUCUGGAUCGAUGAAACCCUUCUGUUGCAGAUCUACUUCUUCUCUCUUUUCCAUUCGCAGAUCUAAGGCUAAGUUUUAGGUUCGGUUCAUGUUGGUGGGUUCUUGUCAAAGACGUCAUGGGAUCAUAAAGACAUGCACAUUGUUUCAGUUUUGUGGCUGGAGACAAGUGUCAUGAUAUCACCGAUAAUUUCAGCUAUGCUGGGUCGAGGUAUCACAUAAUCGAUCUGAGUAACCUCAAGGUUAUAAUCCGGAGAUGCAAGAUGAUCCAACAAUGGCGUCGGUGGAAGCAAAAGGGGAUUCCGGUGAAGCAGGAAAAAUUCUGACGGCGACGGCGUUUCAACCAAAGCAGAACUGGUGUUUCGUGUCUUUACUUCCAAACUCGUGUGCAAUAAAGUGGAUGCGUGUCAUCAUGUCUGAUAGCGGUGGGGAUACGUGGAUUAGCUAAUCAAUCAGUAUAAUCCGGUCGGUUAUUGGCCUAAAUUUUAAAUUGUAUUCGGGUUGGAUAGACUUUAAUAUUAUUUCACCAUG
Raphanus sativus (radish) is the source of this 652-nucleotide long non-coding RNA. RefSeq lists it as uncharacterized. The record is from RefSeq and is a predicted model, not a curated record. Lineage: Eukaryota; Viridiplantae; Streptophyta; Magnoliopsida; Brassicales; Brassicaceae. The transcript has 3 exons.